UACGGAGGGGGCUAGCGUUGUUCGGAAUUACUGGGCGUAAAGCGCACGUAGGCGGACUGUUAAGUCGGGGGUGAAAUCCUGGGGCUCAACCUCAGAAUUGCCUCCGAUACUGGCAGUCUCGAGUGCGGGAGAGGUGAGUGGAAUUCCCAGUGUAGAGGUGAAAUUCGUAGAUAUUGGGAAGAACACCAGUGGCGAAGGCGGCCCCCUGGUUGGAUACUGACGCUGAGACGCGAAAGCGUGGGGAGCAAACAGG
This 253-nucleotide ribosomal RNA is filed under the name uncultured bacterium. Its description in RNAcentral is "partial 16S ribosomal RNA". It matches the Rfam family "Bacterial small subunit ribosomal RNA", at positions 524 to 776 of the family's 1533-position model. The record is from RNAcentral.